UACUAUCUGCUGGUGAAAGAUUUACAGU
This 28-nucleotide non-coding RNA is filed under the name Mus musculus (house mouse). The record is from RNAcentral. Lineage: Eukaryota; Metazoa; Chordata; Mammalia; Rodentia; Muridae.